Molecule: long non-coding RNA, 269 nt
Filed under: Homo sapiens (human)
Lineage: Eukaryota; Metazoa; Chordata; Mammalia; Primates; Hominidae
Description: HSALNT0343752
Source: RNAcentral
GGGUGAAAUAGUGUCAUAUCUUGGUCACUGAUUUAAAGCAUGGACCACGGGUAAAGUGCUGGCCGCGAAGGGCGCGCGAGGAGCCGCCACCCGCUCAGCGUGGGCUUUGGUGUCGGGGUCGUUGUGUGUUGACAAUCACUCCAGUAGCCGUUUCCGAUACAGCAUGUGCGGCCUCUUUAGCCUUGAGCGGGCUCCGCGGCUGCCUGGCGGGCUUGGCUAGUGCCUGAUCCUUCUCUCCGCAGAGCCCAUGCCAAGCAGCGACCCUGAGC